This 293-nucleotide ribosomal RNA is filed under the name Escherichia coli. RNAcentral describes it as "partial 23S ribosomal RNA". It matches the Rfam family "Bacterial large subunit ribosomal RNA", at positions 900 to 1191 of the family's 2925-position model. The record is from RNAcentral. Lineage: Bacteria; Pseudomonadati; Pseudomonadota; Gammaproteobacteria; Enterobacterales; Enterobacteriaceae.
GGGUAGAGCACUGUUUCGGCAAGGGGGUCAUCCCGACUUACCAACCCGAUGCAAACUGCGAAUACCGGAGAAUGUUAUCACGGGAGACACACGGCGGGUGCUAACGUCCGUCGUGAAGAGGGAAACAACCCAGACCGCCAGCUAAGGUCCCAAAGUCAUGGUUAAGUGGGAAACGAUGUGGGAAGGCCCAGACAGCCAGGAUGUUGGCUUAGAAGCAGCCAUCAUUUAAAGAAAGCGUAAUAGCUCACUGGUCGAGUCGGCCUGCGCGGAAGAUGUAACGGGGCUAAACCAUG